AUUGAACGCUGGCGGAAUGCUUUACACAUGCAAGUCGAACGGCAGCACGGGGGCAACCCUGGUGGCGAGUGGCGAACGGGUGAGUAAUACAUCGGAACGUGCCCGGUCGUGGGGGAUAACGUAGCGAAAGAUACGCUAAUACCGCAUACGAACUGAGGAUGAAAGCGGGGGACCUUCGGGCCUCGCGCGAUCGGAGCGGCCGAAGUCAGAUUCGUGAGUUGGUGGGGUAACGGCCUACCAAGCCGACGAUCUGUAGCUGGGCUGAGAGGACGACCAGCCACCCUGGGACUGAGACACGGCCCAGCCUCCUACGGGAGGCAGCAGUGGGGAAUUUUGGACAAUGGGCGCAAGCCUGCUCCAGCCCUUCCGCGUGCAGGACGAAGGCCUUCGGGUUGUAAACUGCUUUUGUAUGGAACGAAAAGGCUCUGGCUAAUACCUGGGGCUCAUGACGGUACCGUACGAAUAAGCACCGGCUAACUACGUG
Molecule: ribosomal RNA, 484 nt
Filed under: uncultured bacterium
Lineage: Bacteria
Description: partial 16S ribosomal RNA
Rfam family: Bacterial small subunit ribosomal RNA
Source: RNAcentral